UACGAAGGGUGCAAACGUUGCUCGGAAUUAUUGGGCGUAAAGCGCACGUAGGCGGCUUGGCAAGUCGGAUGUGAAAUCCCUCGGCUCAACCAAGGAAGUGCAUCCGAAACUGCUGAGCUUGAGUACGAAAGAGGAUCGCGGAAUUCCCGGUGUAGAGGUGAAAUUCGUAGAUAUCUGGAGGAACACCGGUGGCGAAGGCGGCAUCCUGGACCAAUACUGACACUGAGGAGCGAAAGCCAGGGGAGCAAACGGG
RNAcentral lists this ribosomal RNA (253 nucleotides) under uncultured bacterium. Its description in RNAcentral is "partial 16S ribosomal RNA". It matches the Rfam family "Bacterial small subunit ribosomal RNA", at positions 524 to 776 of the family's 1533-position model. The record is from RNAcentral.